AGAGGGAGCUGAGUGUUGUGUUCGCUGUUCCAGAGGGAGCUUCCCCUGGGGCGUCUCAGUUGGAUUACGAUAACGUGGAGGAGCCUGCAUUGAAUGAUGAUCCCCAGACUCCAGACGACCAAGAGGGCGAUGCCUUGCCUGGAGAUGUCCCAGGGGAUGGUUAUGACGAUGUCAGAGAAGUUUCUGACCCUGAACAUGAUCCUGGUUCAGGGCAGUGUGCCCGGGAAGUUACUUGGGCCCCUCGGAUGAAUGACAAGAACAGGGAUUCACAGAGAGAUUGGAAUCUGCACUCCCUAAGAAGUGAAGGGGCCUCAGGGACUGAGAGAGACGGCCCAUUCCUGCCUCCUGGAGACCCGGGUUAUGAUGAUGUUGAAGCUGGCAUCCCUGAGACAUCAAUAUAAGAAUGACUGAGUUCCGAUCAAAUAUCCUGUGAGGAUGUAAAUGCUGUAUGAUUAAACUCUUUCUCUCCUAAAUACUAACUGGGCAUGGAGGCAUCAGAGAUAGUCCCUGCCAUGGAUCUAGUUCAGAUACCUUUUAUAUUGGGGUUUUAUGUAGUUGCAAGAAAUAUAAGUGUGACUGAGACAGGGUCUGUGAUUUUCCCUGUAAUUUCUCAUUGAUCAGAUUGCCUGGAACUUGUCCUGCUUUUUUAUUCCUAAUAUUUUCUUCAUCGUGAAUUUUUCCUUUUUCAUAUUGAAUCCUUUUAAAAAGUUUAUUCCAGGAACGAUGCUUCUUUCACAAGGUGCAUAAGAGAUCAUAAGAGAGUGAGAUGGAGUCUGAACAACCAAAAAAUAAUAAUUGCAAAAUAUCACCUCUCGGUAUUGCAGGUUGUUCAAUAGGGUACUGGAUGGAGAAUGAACGUUCCGUCCGUUGUGUGGUAAUGGUUAAAAACCCAGCAACAGAAUAAUUCUAACUCCAGAGAUGGCCCUAACCGCCAUCCAAACUCCAGACUUUCCUUUAAAAUCCAGGAGGAUAAAUGGACAUUAUUUAUAAGAACCUUAAUGCACACACACAAUUAGAUAGCAGUUAAAAGAUACCCCCCGUCCCAUCCUCUUCUCGUCUCCUCUAUACAAAUUCAUAUACUAUGCCCAUUACUGUAGCAUCGGAGCAUCUUUCAGUGGUGCAUUAAGUGUAAGGACCUUCAUCUUUGGUUUAUACUGAUUUUUUAAUGAACAUUUGCUGAGUUUUACAAAAAUCGUUAUUCCAUUUUUAACAAUUUUUACCCAAAUUUAGAUGUGCUGGAACUCCAUCUCCCUGCUCCAGGAGAAAUGGGUGACCCAGGUUACCAAGCCACCAUCUCUCCUUCCGGAGUGGGAAGCCAAAAGCACUGGAACAACUUGAGUGGUAGUGUAUGUACUGGUGUCAAUCCCACAACCACCACACACCACAUAUAUAUUACCAACUUUACAGAUAGUGCAGAUUGUCAUCAGCAGUGAAAGCAAAAUAAAGGUAUUUAACUACUUUUUAUGAUAAAAUGG
Molecule: long non-coding RNA, 1475 nt
Filed under: Chrysemys picta bellii (western painted turtle)
Lineage: Eukaryota; Metazoa; Chordata; Testudines; Emydidae
Description: lncRNA (ENSCPBG00000012866.1)
Source: RNAcentral